GAUGAACGCUAGCGGCAGGCUUAACACAUGCAAGUCGAGGGGUAGAAGGAGCUUGCUCCUUUGAGACCGGCGCACGGGUGCGUAACGCGUAUGCAAUCUACCUUUUGCAGAGGGAUAGCCCAGAGAAAUUUGGAUUAAUACCUCAUAGUAUGUGAGGAUGGCAUCAUUUUCACAUUAAAGUCACAACGGCAAAAGAUGAGCAUGCGUCCCAUUAGCUAGUUGGUAAGGUAACGGCUUACCAAGGCUACGAUGGGUAGGGUCCUGAGAGGGAGAUCCCCCACACUGGUACUGAGACACGGACCAGACUCCUACGGGAGGCAGCAGUGAGGAAUAUUGGACAAUGGGCGAAAGCCUGAUCCAGCCAUGCCGCGUGUGUGAAGAAGGUCUUCGGAUUGUAAAGCACUUUAAGUGGUAGGAAGGUAGUAACCUAAUACGUUGCUACUUGACUUACGACAGAAUAAGCACCGGCUAACUUCGUGCCAGCAGCCG
This 489-nucleotide ribosomal RNA is filed under the name uncultured bacterium. RNAcentral's name for it is "bacterial SSU rRNA". It matches the Rfam family "Bacterial small subunit ribosomal RNA", at positions 28 to 517 of the family's 1533-position model. The record is from RNAcentral.